RNAcentral lists this ribosomal RNA (253 nucleotides) under uncultured bacterium. RNAcentral describes it as "partial 16S ribosomal RNA". It matches the Rfam family "Bacterial small subunit ribosomal RNA", at positions 524 to 776 of the family's 1533-position model. The record is from RNAcentral.
UACGAAGGGGGCUAGCGUUGCUCGGAAUCACUGGGCGUAAAGGGUGCGUAGGCGGGUCUUUAAGUCAGGGGUGAAAUCCUGGAGCUCAACUCCAGAACUGCCUUUGAUACUGAAGAUCUUGAGUUCGGGAGAGGUGAGUGGAACUGCGAGUGUAGAGGUGAAAUUCGUAGAUAUUCGCAAGAACACCAGUGGCGAAGGCGGCUCACUGGCCCGAUACUGACGCUGAUGCACGAAAGCUAGGGGAGCAAACAGG